GGACAAGCGUUAUCCGGAUUCACUGGGCGUAAAGAGCGUUGAGGCGGUUCCGUAAGUUGGGCGUGAAAGCUCCGGGCUUAACUCGGAGAUGUCGUUCAAUACUGCGGGGCUUGAGGACAGCAGAGGAAGGUGGAAUUCCCGGUGUAGUGGUGAAAUGCGUAGAUAUCGGGAGGAACACCCGUGGCGAAGGCGGCCUUCUGGGCUGUUCCUGACGCUGAAGGCGAAAGCUAGGGGAGCGAACGGGAUUAGAUACCCCGGUAGUCCUAGCUGUAAACGAUGGAUGCUGGGUGUGGGGGGUGUAAAUUCCCUCUGUGCCGAAGCAAACGCGUUAAGCAUCCCGCCUGGGGACUACGGCCGCAAGGCUAAAACUCAAACGAAUUGACGGGGGCCCGCACAAGCAGCGGAGCGUGUGGUUUAAUUCGAUGCUACACGAAGAACCUUACCUGGGUUUGACAUGCACGUGGUAGGGAACCGAAAGGGGACCGACCUUCGGGAGCGUGCACAGGUGCUGCAUGGCUGUCGUCAGCUCGUGCCGUGAGGUGUCGGGUUAAGUCCCGUAACGAGCGCAACCCUUGCCCUUAGUUACAAGUGUCUAAGGGGACUGCCCGGGACAACUGGGAGGAAGGUGGGGAUGACGUCAAGUCAGCAUGGCCUUUAUAUCCAGGGCUACACACACGCUACAAUGGCCGGUACAAUAGGUUGCGAAGUCGUGAGGCGGAGCCAAUCCUCAAAGCCGGUCUCAGUUCGAAUUGCAGUCUGCAACUCGACUGCAUGAAGCUGGAGUUGCUAGUAAUCGCAGGUCAGCUAUACUGCGGUGAAUACGUUCCCGGGCCUU
Molecule: ribosomal RNA, 835 nt
Filed under: uncultured Chloroflexota bacterium
Lineage: Bacteria; Bacillati; Chloroflexota
Description: bacterial SSU rRNA
Rfam family: Bacterial small subunit ribosomal RNA
Source: RNAcentral